AAGUAAGAAACAAAAUUUGUGUUUAGUUUCGACCUAAAAUUUUGGCUUUUAGCCCUUACUUA
RNAcentral lists this transfer RNA (62 nucleotides) under Sphindus dubius. RNAcentral's name for it is "tRNA-Arg". Lineage: Eukaryota; Metazoa; Arthropoda; Insecta; Coleoptera; Sphindidae. The record is from RNAcentral.